This 253-nucleotide ribosomal RNA is filed under the name uncultured bacterium. RNAcentral describes it as "partial 16S ribosomal RNA". It matches the Rfam family "Bacterial small subunit ribosomal RNA", at positions 524 to 776 of the family's 1533-position model. The record is from RNAcentral.
UACGUAGGUGGCAAGCGUUGUCCGGAAUUACUGGGUGUAAAGGGAGCGCAGGCGGGAAGCCAAGUCAGCUGUGAAAACUACGGGCUUAACUUGUAGACUGCAGUUGAAACUGGUUUUCUUGAGUGAAGUAGAGGUUGGCGGAAUUCCGGGUGUAGCGGUGAAAUGCGUAGAUAUUCGGAGGAACACCGGUGGCGAAGGCGGCCAACUGGGCUUUAACUGACGCUGAGGCUCGAAAGUGUGGGGAGCAAACAGG